ACGAACGCUGGCGGCGUGCCUAAUACAUGCCAGUCGAGCGAGCGGAACCAACAGAUUUACUUCGGUAAUGACGUUGGGAAAGCGAGCGGCGGAUGGGUGAGUAACACGUGGGGAACCUGCCCCUAAGUCUGGGAUACCAUUUGGAAACAGGUGCUAAUACCGGAUAAGAAAGCAGAUCGCAUGAUCAGCUUUUAAAAGGCGGCGUAAGCUGUCGCUAAGGGAUGGCCCCGCGGUGCAUUAGCUAGUUGGUAAGGUAACGGCUUACCAAGGCAACGAUGCAUAGCCGAGUUGAGAGACUGAUCGGCCACAUUGGGACUGAGACACGGCCCAAACUCCUACGGGAGGCAGCAGUAGGGAAUCUUCCACAAUGGACGCAAGUCUGAUGGAGCAACGCCGCGUGAGUGAAGAAGGUUUUCGGAUCGUAAAGCUCUGUUGUUGGUGAAGAAGGAUAGAGGUAGUAACUGGCCUUUAUUUGACGGUAAUCAACCAGAAAGUCACGGCUAACUACGUG
RNAcentral lists this ribosomal RNA (511 nucleotides) under uncultured bacterium. Its description in RNAcentral is "partial 16S ribosomal RNA". It matches the Rfam family "Bacterial small subunit ribosomal RNA", at positions 29 to 507 of the family's 1533-position model. The record is from RNAcentral.